AGUGAACGCUGGCGGCAGGCCUAACACAUGCAAGUCGAACGACCUCUUCGUAAUUAGUGGCUCUUACGUGUGUCGACUGUCGGAAGGUUCAUUUUUGUUUCGAAUUCUUCUUUUUCAUUUGUGAUAACGUCGGAUGUCUUCUUCUGGUACAGCAUUUAUCCUACUUUUUACAGCCCGCGUUCUUUUCGCUUUUUGCUUUUGUAUGCGCUGAUGUCGGCUUAGAUAGUUGGCGGGUUAAAGACACACCAAGGCGACGCUCGGAAGCUGGUCUGAGAGGAUGAUCAGCCACACGGGAAGUGAGACACGGUCCAGACUCCUACGGGAGGCAGCAGUGGGGAAUAUUGGACAAUGGGCGAAAGCCUGAUCCAGCAAUACCGCGUGGGUGAAGAAGGACUUCGGGUUGUAAAGCCCUUUUGUUGGGAAAGAAAAGAAGUAGGUUAAUACCCCGCUGUUAUGACGGUACCCAAAGAAUAAGCACCGGCUAACUUCGUG
RNAcentral lists this ribosomal RNA (492 nucleotides) under uncultured bacterium. Its description in RNAcentral is "partial 16S ribosomal RNA". It matches the Rfam family "Bacterial small subunit ribosomal RNA", at positions 29 to 507 of the family's 1533-position model. The record is from RNAcentral.